RNAcentral lists this ribosomal RNA (442 nucleotides) under Anaerococcus lactolyticus. Its description in RNAcentral is "bacterial SSU rRNA". It matches the Rfam family "Bacterial small subunit ribosomal RNA", at positions 28 to 454 of the family's 1533-position model. Lineage: Bacteria; Bacillati; Bacillota; Tissierellia; Tissierellales; Peptoniphilaceae. The record is from RNAcentral.
GAUUAACGCUGGCGGCGUGCAUAACACAUGCAAGUCGAACGAUGAAACUUAAAUGAACUCUUCGGAGUGAUUUUAAGUGGAUUAGUGGCGGACGGGUGAGUAACGCGUGAGUAACCUGCCUUAGAGAAGGGGAUAGCCUUUGGAAACGAAGAAUAAUACCCUAUAACACCAACACCUCGCAUGAAGAGUUGGUCAAAGAUUUAUCGCUCUAAGAUGGACUUGCGUCUGAUUAGUUAGUUGGUGAGGUAACGGCCCACCAAGACAGCGAUCAGUAGCCGGCUUGAGAGAGUGUACGGCCACAUUGGGACUGAGACACGGCCCAGACUCCUACGGGAGGCAGCAGUGGGGAAUUUUGCACAAUGGGGGAAACCCUGAUGCAGCGACGCCGCGUGAUUUAGAAGGCCUUCGGGUUGUAAAAAUCUUUUCUAUGGGAAGAAAAUGA